CCUACGGGCGGCUGCAGUGGGGAAUAUUGGACAAUGGGCGAAAGCCUGAUCCAGCCAUGCCGCGUGUGUGAAGAAGGCCUUCGGGUUGUAAAGCACUUUCAGUGGGGAAGAAAGCCUUGGGGCUAAUACCCUCGAGGAAGGACAUCACCCGCAGAAGAAGCACCGGCUAACUCCGUGCCAGCAGCCGCGGUAAUACGGAGGGUGCGAGCGUUAAUCGGAAUUACUGGGCGUAAAGCGCGCGUAGGCGGUCUGAUAAGCCGGUUGUGAAAGCCCCGGGCUCAACCUGGGAACGGCAUCCGGAACUGUCAGGCUAGAGUGCAGGAGAGGAAGGUAGAAUUCCCGGUGUAGCGGUGAAAUGCGUAGAGAUCGGGAGGAAUACCAGUGGCGAAGGCGGCCUUCUGGACUGACACUGACGCUGAGGUGCGAAAGCGUGGGUAGCAAACAGGAUUAGAUCCCCCUGUAGUC
This 465-nucleotide ribosomal RNA is filed under the name Vreelandella stevensii. RNAcentral describes it as "partial 16S ribosomal RNA". It matches the Rfam family "Bacterial small subunit ribosomal RNA", at positions 338 to 795 of the family's 1533-position model. The record is from RNAcentral. Lineage: Bacteria; Pseudomonadati; Pseudomonadota; Gammaproteobacteria; Oceanospirillales; Halomonadaceae.